RNAcentral lists this ribosomal RNA (363 nucleotides) under uncultured bacterium. Its description in RNAcentral is "partial 16S ribosomal RNA". It matches the Rfam family "Bacterial small subunit ribosomal RNA", at positions 338 to 698 of the family's 1533-position model. The record is from RNAcentral.
CCUACGGUGGGCAGCAGUGAGGAAUAUUGGUCAAUGUCCGGAAGGCUGAACCAGCCAUGCCGCGUGCAGGUCAGUGGCCUAUGGGCGUUAAACUUCUUUUGUGCGGGAGCAAUAAUGGUCACGUGAGGCCAGACGAGAGUACCGUACGAAUAAGCAUCGGCUCACUCCGUGCCCGCAGCAGCGGUCAUACGAGUGAUGCAAGCGUUAUCCGGAUUUAGUGGGUUUAAAGGUUGAGUCGGCUGGGAGGUAAGUCAGCGGGGAAAUGCCCCGGCGCAAAGGGGUGAAGUGCCCUUGAGACUGCCUUGCUGGAAUGCGGAUGCGGAGGGAGGAAUGUGUGGUGUAGCGGUGAAAUGCGUAGAUAUC